GAUGAACGCUGGCGGCGUGCCUAAUACAUGCAAGUCGAGCGAACGGACGAGAAGCUUGCUUCUCUGAUGUUAGCGGCGGACGGGUGAGUAACACGUGGAUAACCUACCUAUAAGACUGGGAUAACUUCGGGAAACCGGAGCUAAUACCGGAUAAUAUUUUGAACCGCAUGGUUCAAAAGUGAAAGACGGUCUUGCUGUCACUUAUAGAUGGAUCCGCGCUGCAUUAGCUAGUUGGUAAGGUAACGGCUUACCAAGGCAACGAUGCAUAGCCGACCUGAGAGGGUGCUCGGCCACACUGGAACUGAGCCACGGUCCAGACUCCUACGGGAGGCAGCAGUAGGGAAUCUUCCGCAAUGGGCGAAAGCCUGACGGAGCAACGCCGCGUGAGUGAUGAAGGUCUUCGGAUCGUAAAACUCUGUUAUUAGGGAGGAACAUAUGUGUAAGUAACUGUGCACAUCUUGACGGUACCUAAUCAGAAAGCCACGGCUAACUACGUG
This 497-nucleotide ribosomal RNA is filed under the name uncultured bacterium. RNAcentral describes it as "partial 16S ribosomal RNA". It matches the Rfam family "Bacterial small subunit ribosomal RNA", at positions 28 to 507 of the family's 1533-position model. The record is from RNAcentral.